Molecule: long non-coding RNA, 840 nt
Filed under: Zonotrichia albicollis (white-throated sparrow)
Lineage: Eukaryota; Metazoa; Chordata; Aves; Passeriformes; Passerellidae
Description: lncRNA (ENSZALG00000005337.1)
Source: RNAcentral
CAAAGGAGUAGAAAAGAAAAAAUAAAAAUAAUAAAAACAACACAACCCAACAGUUCCAUGCCCUAAGGAUGGGAGGGGGGAAAUUUUUUUUGGGGGGGAAAAAAAUGGGAAUUUGAGGUUUAUGGGGGAUUUUUCCAACCUCACAUUUUGUGCUCGUGGUGCAUGAUGUGGGAGGGGAAAAUAGGGGAAAAUUGGGGGAAAAAAAUGGGAAUUUGAGGCAGGGAAAAUUUUUUCCAAGCUCACAUUUUGCUCAGGAUUUUGGAGGGGGAAAAUUGGGGGAAAAAAUGGGAAUUUGAGGCAGGGAAAAUUUUUUCCAAUCUCACAUUUUGCUCAGGAUUUUGGAGGGGAAAAUUGGGGGGAAAAAUGGGAAUUUGAGGUUUGGGGAGGGAUUUUUCCAACCUCACAUUUUGUGUUUUGGAGGGGAAAAUUGGGAUGAAAUCGGGAAAUUUGAGGUAGGAAAGGGAAUUUUUCCCACCUCACAUUUUGUGUAUCCUGAGCAAAAUUUCAGAGGUGAAAAUUGGGGUGAAAUCAGGAAACUGGAGGGUUUUCCCACCUCAUAUUUUGUGUUUCCUGAUCACAAUUUUGGAGGGGAAAAUUGGGGUAAAAUUGGGAUGAAAUCAGGAAAUUGGAGGAUUUUCCCACCUCACAUUUUGUGUAUCCCGAGCGCAAUUUCAGAGGGGAAAAUUGGGGUGAAAUCAGGAAAUUUGAGGCAGGAAAAGGGGGGGAUUUUCCCACCUCACAUUUUGCAUUUCCCGAGCACAAUUUCAGAGGUGAAAAUCGGGGUAAAAUCAGGAAAUUUGAGGCAGCAAGGGGGAGUUUUCCCACCUCACGUCUCGUGCA